RNAcentral lists this ribosomal RNA (253 nucleotides) under uncultured bacterium. RNAcentral describes it as "partial 16S ribosomal RNA". It matches the Rfam family "Bacterial small subunit ribosomal RNA", at positions 524 to 776 of the family's 1533-position model. The record is from RNAcentral.
UACGUAGGGUGCGAGCGUUGUCCGGAAUUAUUGGGCGUAAAGAGCUCGUAGGCGGCUUGUCGCAUCGGAUGUGAAAGCCCGGGGCUUAACUCCGGGUCUGCAUUCGAUACGGGCAGGCUAGAGUUCGGUAGGGGAGAUCGGAAUUCCUGGUGUAGCGGUGAAAUGCGCAGAUAUCAGGAGGAACACCGGUGGCGAAGGCGGAUCUCUGGGCCGAUACUGACGCUGAGGAGCGAAAGCGUGGGGAGCGAACAGG